Molecule: long non-coding RNA, 2560 nt
Filed under: Mytilus galloprovincialis (Mediterranean mussel)
Lineage: Eukaryota; Metazoa; Mollusca; Bivalvia; Mytilida; Mytilidae
Source: RNAcentral
AUUUGACGUUGUUAGGGGUGGAAAAAUAUAUAAGUAAAAUAUAAGUAAAAGGGUGAGUAUUUGCCUUGUGCACUUUAUUUUUUAUUCGACACUAGGUUAUUAUUUAAAAACUUUAGAAUACAAACUAUUCAAAGACAAAAUGAUGUAACUAAAUACUUCUUAAAUAUACUCUGAACAUGUAUGUGUAUUUUUUACCAGAUUAGUUCGUGUUUUUUUUUAAUGGAAAAAAAUAGAUAAAAUAUGUGCAUAUAUCUUGACAAAAAAGCUUGAUAAAUUAUGUUUAUUGCAAAAACAAUACACAAUCUACAUAACAUAGUCAACUAAUAUUUGGAUAAAAGAUAGUAUUAACCUCUGAAUCUAUAGUUGAUUUUUCAAGUCGAAGUGGAAAUUUCCAAGUAUACAUUUAUAUCUUAUAUCUCAUAUAGGCUCAUUUAUUUACUAACUAAAAGUUUAAACAAUGUUUUCAUCAUUAUGUUAUUGUUCUAUUAUAAUGUUUGCAUAGUUUGAGUGGCAAAUUUAUUUUAUAUAUCUACCUGUGUGACGUUUACAUUCUGACGUCAAACACUCGAUUCGUCACCAGAGUUGAUGUUAUUCUAGCCAUUCGGUCACAGGACUGAUAAUAUUUAUAUCCCUUAUGGGUUGAUUUAACAUACAUUGAUUAAAUACAAAAAAAGUAAGCAAUGGACGUGGUUGUUUAAUUUGAUAUACCUGUAUGCUUUUUGUGCCUCUUUGUUAAAUAUUUGUUUGUUUUUCUUCUGAUUGAGAUUGUGACACGGUGAUGACUGCUGUGCCCUGUUUUGACAAUAUUGCCAAUUAUGUCUGUUUUGUUCGCGCAACGUUGUCGAUGUGAUGGGAUUUGAUACGACUGUCAUACAAGUGAGUGAUUUAGCGCUAUAAAACGAGUUUCAAUCAACCAUUUUCUACAUAUUAAGUAGAUGCCUGUUCCAAGUCAGGAAUAUGAUAGUUUUCAUUACUCAUAUUUCUUAUGAUACAAUUAAUAAAUAAUGAUUUGUACGUAAAUUAAUGUAACAAUUUUACUUCAUAAUAUUUAUUUCUAGAUAUGAUGAAUAAUACAAUUUGCGCUGUGCUGCUUGCUGUUCUGAUGUUAACCCGUCCUACUAGUGUAUGAGGUAAGCAUAAGAAAAUACAGAAAUAAAAGCAAUUUUAAAAGUUAUGGAUGUUAUGCAGUAGUCUUCAAUUCCAAUGAUCAUGCAUUGCAGUUUUAAAACGUUCAAGUACUAUGCGGAUAGUAUCGUAUAGAAAGAAACAAUAAAUACAACUUGUAAAUGUCAAAUUUGCCCGACCGAGGCUGCACCUUCGUGUUGUACUUACUUCCGAAUAGACCAAGGGAGGAGACAUAAAAUAUACGAUACAGGUAAAGUCAUUGUCAGAACACUGAUUAACGACGUAAUAUAACUCUGACAUCAAAUAAGUACUGUUUAUCAACUUAUAUGCAUGUUGAUAUCGUUAAAUAUCAGCUGCGAGUCGCACUAUGAAGAUUGUUGUCGAGUGAGCGCAGCAAAAAACAGAUUUCAUAUUGUGUCGACCAGCUGAUAUUUUACAAUAUCAAUAUGCAUAAAUUUCAAUCAACGUAAGUCCAAACAUUAUGACAUCGAUGAUAUGUUCGGAUCAAAUUUAUUUAGGAUGGAUCAACCUCUUCUACGUUUAAAAGCCGUGAUAUGCAAUUCUUUUAAGAGCUGAACAGGGUGAUAUAGUGACAGUGAAACGACCGAUAAAUGAAAAUAUUGCUCUUUAAUGUUAGUCCGAAACCGUUUUUAUGUAUAUAAAUACAAAAAGAGUAACUUGAAGAAUUUAUAAAACCAUGAAUACCUGCGUAGUAAGAGACCUAAACGGACAAAAUAAAAUUAAUACAAAUGUAUCUUAUGUUAUACCCUGCAGCACUACUCAAGUGUGUGGUUGGUUCGUACCGCUUUUCAAUUUAACUUCAGAAGCAACGUCUCUUUCUCCUUUCCCUUUUUUUGACAAUCCAACUUGAGUUUACAUGAAUAUUUGAGUACAUGUUAACAUAUAGAGCUCUAAGAUCUAAACAGGACAUUAAUAUAGUAGACUCGCCAGAUAAUAACUUAGAUAAAAUAAAAAAUUGAGAAUUGUAAAUAAUAAAAAUACCACCAGAUUUUAGUUUUAAUAGGCAGAAAAAACCCACACAUUGAUGUACAACUACUUUUUUACUGGAUAAGCUUUAUAUUUCUUUAAGUAAAAUUGAUCAUGUCAUUUGUUUAAAGGUGUAACACUAUGUAGCGCCUCAUGUCUUACCGCUGUUGGAGGAACUGCGUUAUUAGGAACAUCAGCCAUACUACCAGCAAUAGGUUUCACAUCUUCUGGAAUAACAGCAGCAUGGAUGGCUUCUUUUGGAGGUUCCGUACCCGCAGGUGGUUGUUUUGCUCUUUUUCAAUCGGCAGGUAUGACUGGAGCAACUACUAAAAUGGUGGGUGCAGUUACUGGUUCAGCAGCAACUAUAUGUGCAUUCAUUUGCAAAUGUUAACUACAGAAACUUAUACCACUGUCUUACCUUUUUUUUAUCAAACAAUUUUACACAAAU